UUUUAAAAAAAAUUUAGUUUCGAUUUAAAAUAAAUUUUACCUCGUUAAAAAAUUACUCCUAUACUAUAUAUUAUAUAUUAUUAAUAUAUAAUAUUGUUAGCAUAUUAUAUACAUUUUUAUUAUAAAUAAACAUUUUUAAAGUAUAUUAUAAAAUAUUUUUAAAAUAUAUAAUGUAAUAUAAUAUAACAUUAUAUAUUUAAUACUAGGCCAAUUUGCAUAAAAAAUCCACUUAUUUUGAGCUUUUGCAAAAUCGGGCCAUCUUUUUGGCUUUUGCAGAUUCGGUCCGCUUUUUCAGCAAACUGACCAAAAUACCCUUAUACCUUUUUCUCUUUCCUCUUUCUCUCUCCUUUUUUUUUCUCUCGUUCUUUUUUCUUUUUCUUCCCAGAGAGCGGCGAAGACGGAGCGGAGGUGCCCUUAUACCUUUUACUUUUCUCUUUUUCUCUCGUUCUUUUUUUUCUUUCUCUUCCCAGAGAGCGGCGAAGACAGAGCGACGUCGCCGCCGACGCCCCCACCUUCCUCGCCUCCGAUCCCCCU
This 534-nucleotide long non-coding RNA is filed under the name Ananas comosus (pineapple). Its description in RNAcentral is "long non-coding RNA (ACOM_LNC020448)". The record is from RNAcentral. Lineage: Eukaryota; Viridiplantae; Streptophyta; Magnoliopsida; Poales; Bromeliaceae.